AUGGAAGCCAUUGCAUACAACAGCCAGGCAAUCCGUUUCAAUAGCGUGCUAGAAACCGGUAGGACCUAUGAUUUCAAUCGCGUCGGGUUCAACCCCACAGAAAUGCCUGAUGGACAUUUCUGGUACCUAGCCAUGGACUUUGUGACCACACUAAGUUCUACGACCGAGGUUACAAUGUCGGCGCAACAAAUAACGUCGACAAUUUGCCCACCGUAUGUGGUUGCUAUCCUUGCCUAUGUUGGUCAGAUAGAAUUUAUGUGGGAUUCAAUAUAUAGGCGCCACGUCCCUUCCCUCGAGAUUGGCCUCAUGAACUUUCAACGGCAGAUAAUUUUCUUACGUGUACGUGAAAAGCACGUUGGGCCUAACUUCUGGCAUUUGCAAUGCACUGACAACCUGUUCGAGAAGUUUGCUGUAACUUACAUACAGGUAAAUCAGAGGCAGCGUUGCUUGCAAACUAUGAGGGAGAGCACAUUCUUCUUCUCUCCCAACAUUAAUGAUGAUCAUCAUUAUCUACAAGAUAUCCAUGAAGCCAGCCUGACGACACUUGAUGAAACACGUGCUUACGUCAAUCGUGUUGUUCAAGGUAGGAACAAUGGACGUCAUAACUAUCACAGCCGAAAUUAG
This 624-nucleotide ribosomal RNA is filed under the name Triticum aestivum (bread wheat). RNAcentral's name for it is "partial small subunit ribosomal RNA". The record is from RNAcentral. Lineage: Eukaryota; Viridiplantae; Streptophyta; Magnoliopsida; Poales; Poaceae.